GACGAACGCUGGCGGCGUGCUUAACACAUGCAAGUCGAACGGUGAAAGCGGAGCUUGCUCCGCUGGAUCAGUGGCGAACGGGUGAGUAACACGUGGGCAACCUGCCCCUCACUUCGGGAUAACUCCGGGAAACCGGGGCUAAUACCGGAUAUGACCUCCUUGGGCAUCCUUGGAGGUGGAAAGUUUUUCGGUGAGGGAUGGGCCCGCGGCCUAUCAGCUUGUUGGUGAGGUAGUGGCUCACCAAGGCGACGACGGGUAGCCGGCCUGAGAGGGCGACCGGCCACCAUGGGACUGAGACACGGCCCAGGCUCCUACGGGAGGCAGCAGUGGGGAAUAUUGCGCAAUGGGCGAAAGCCUGACGCAGCAACGCCGCGUGCGGGAUGACGGCCUUCGGGUUGUAAACCGCUUUCAGCAGGGAAGAAGCCGCAAGGUGACGGUACCUGCAGAAGAAGCACCGGCUAACUACGUGCCAGCAGCCGCCGUAA
Molecule: ribosomal RNA, 485 nt
Filed under: uncultured bacterium
Lineage: Bacteria
Description: partial 16S ribosomal RNA
Rfam family: Bacterial small subunit ribosomal RNA
Source: RNAcentral